Molecule: ribosomal RNA, 261 nt
Filed under: uncultured archaeon
Lineage: Archaea
Description: partial 16S ribosomal RNA
Rfam family: Archaeal small subunit ribosomal RNA
Source: RNAcentral
UAGCCGUAAACGAUACUCGCUAGGUGUCAGCCACGGUGCGACCGUUGUCGGUGCCGUAGGGAAGCCGUGAAGCGAGCCACCUGGGAAGUACGGCCGCAAGGCUGAAACUUAAAGGAAUUGGCGGGGGAGCACAACAACGGGUGGAGCUUGCGGUUUAAUUGGAUUCAACGCCGGAAAUCUUACCGGGACCGACAGCAACAUGAAGGCCAAGCUGAAGACUUUGCCGGAUUAGCUGAGAGGAGGUGCAUGGCGUAGUCGUGU